Molecule: ribosomal RNA, 379 nt
Filed under: uncultured bacterium
Lineage: Bacteria
Description: bacterial SSU rRNA
Rfam family: Bacterial small subunit ribosomal RNA
Source: RNAcentral
AUUGAACGCUGGCGGAAUGCUUUACACAUGCAAGUCGAGCGGCAGCGCGGGGCAACCUGGCGGCGAGCGGCGAACGGGUGAGUAAUGCAUCGGAACGUACCCCGUCGUGGGGAAUAACUACCCGAAAGGGUAGCUAAUACCGCAUACGACCUGAGGGUGAAAGCGGGGGACCGAAAGGCCUCGCGCGAUGGGAGCGGCCGAUGCCGGAUUAGCUAGUUGGUAGGGUAAAGGCCUACCAAGGCGACGAUCCGUAGCUGGUCUGAGAGGACGACCAGCCACACUGGAACUGAGACACGGUCCAGACUCCUACGGGAGGCAGCAGUGGGGAAUUUUGGACAAUGGGCGAAAGACCUGAUCCAGCCAUUCCGCGUGAGUGAAG